This 253-nucleotide ribosomal RNA is filed under the name uncultured bacterium. RNAcentral describes it as "partial 16S ribosomal RNA". It matches the Rfam family "Bacterial small subunit ribosomal RNA", at positions 524 to 776 of the family's 1533-position model. The record is from RNAcentral.
GACAGAGGCCUCGAGCGUUAGGCGGAAUCACUGGGCUUAAAGCGUGUGUAGGCGGAUCGUUAAGUACCUUGUGAAAUCCCACGGCUCAACCGUGGAACGGCUGGGUAUACUGGCGGUCUUGAGCAACCUAGGGGCGAGCGGAACAAACGGUGGAGCGGUGAAAUGCGUAGAUAUCGUUUGGAACGCCAAUGGUGAAAACAGACAGCUGGGAGUGUGCUGACGCUGAGACACGAAAGCCAGGGGAGCGAACGGG